RNAcentral lists this non-coding RNA (379 nucleotides) under Acetobacterium bakii. Its description in RNAcentral is "T-box sequence". It matches the Rfam family "T-box leader". Rfam says of the family: Uncharged tRNA acts as the effector for transcription antitermination of genes in the T-box leader family. T-boxes are found upstream of many aminoacyl-tRNA synthetase genes and some amino acid biosynthetic genes usually in Gram-positive bacteria. The record is from RNAcentral. Lineage: Bacteria; Bacillati; Bacillota; Clostridia; Eubacteriales; Eubacteriaceae.
AAAAAGACGUUGAUGAGGAAUAGUAGUUGUUGGAUGAUUUUCAGAGAUCUGCUGGUCGGUGUGAAGCAGAAAUUAAAAAAUGACGAACUCACCUCUAAGUUGCUUGCUGAAAUUACGCCGAUAAAAUAAGGUGAAAGAGUAGGUUAAGACGGAAACCCACCGUUACAAGGGAUGGAUAUCGGUUUUAUUAAACCCGUAUUGAAGACAAACCGUAUAAAAUAGAGUGGUAUAGCAGAUUUUCGUCUGUCUCGUUUGAGACAGGCGUUUUUUUAUACAAAAAUAGUUUUCAUGGGAAGAAUAAAGGGUAUCGAGAAAGUGCAUACAGUUAGCCUGUAUGAAUAAGAGUGGUACCGCGGAAAGCUCCCUUUUCGUCUCUGGC